GGGGGCGUAGCUCAGAUGGUAGAGCACUCGCUUAGCAUGCGAGAGGUACGGGGAUCGAUAUCCCGCACAUCCA
Molecule: transfer RNA, 73 nt
Filed under: Trichonephila inaurata madagascariensis
Lineage: Eukaryota; Metazoa; Arthropoda; Arachnida; Araneae; Nephilidae
Rfam family: tRNA
About the family: Transfer RNA (tRNA) molecules are approximately 80 nucleotides in length. Their secondary structure includes four short double-helical elements and three loops (D, anti-codon, and T loops). Further hydrogen bonds mediate the characteristic L-shaped molecular structure. tRNAs have two regions of fundamental functional importance: the anti-codon, which is responsible for specific mRNA codon recognition, and the 3' end, to which the tRNAs corresponding amino acid is attached (by aminoacyl-tRNA synthetases). tRNAs cope with the degeneracy of the genetic code in two manners: having more than one tRNA (with a specific anti-codon) for a particular amino acid; and 'wobble' base-pairing, i.e. permitting non-standard base-pairing at the 3rd anti-codon position.
Source: Rfam by way of RNAcentral